This 650-nucleotide long non-coding RNA is filed under the name Malus domestica (apple). RNAcentral's name for it is "long non-coding RNA (MDOM_LNC007090)". Lineage: Eukaryota; Viridiplantae; Streptophyta; Magnoliopsida; Rosales; Rosaceae. The record is from RNAcentral.
AUAAUAAAAAACUUUGCGCGAUGAAAUCUUAUUUGGCACGACAUAUCUGAUUUCUUGUAGUAGUGUCUCGAGAUAUCAUUAUAAAGUAAAUCAUCAGCACUUCACUUUUGAUCGUGAUAGUAAAUAAACAAUAAUUAAUUGUUAGACAAGUAAUAUGAUGAUGAGGGGAUAAUGCAUGGGAAAAAAAAUGUGUUACCUGAAAGCAUAUUUGCAUUGGACCCCUUUAGAUUUUGUAAAUCAAAACUCGCAAUUUGUAGUAUUAAUUAUGUUUUCACACUAUAUAAUUAUAUAUAGCUACAAUGCCAAAGUAAUACAUAUCGAUUAAGGACUGUUUAAAAUUGUUUUCAAGUUUUUUCAGAGAUAAAUGUACUUUUUGAACAACAAAUCAGUAGGAGCCUUGUUAAAAAGAUAUACACAUUUAAAGUUAGUGGCUGGGAACUAUUGAAGGUAGAACCGAUUAAUUUAGCCAUCCAGAUAAUGAAAGCCAGCUUAAUCUUUGAAAGGACGUUUUCCAGGACAAUUAUAUUCCAUUCAGCUGUAUAUGUGAUAUACACGAGCCAUAUAAAAAAAAAAGAGAUGAUCGACUACUUGUGUUUUUGAGAUGAUCGACUGCCUAUCUAUCUCUCUUAUCUUCUGGUGCUGCCAUCGAU